RNAcentral lists this long non-coding RNA (1423 nucleotides) under Notechis scutatus (mainland tiger snake). RNAcentral describes it as "lncRNA (ENSNSUG00000012128.1)". Lineage: Eukaryota; Metazoa; Chordata; Lepidosauria; Squamata; Elapidae. The record is from RNAcentral.
AGGUUCCAGGAGCAAGAGGCAUUUAGAAGAGGCGUGUGAAGAAGGCGGCUCAGCAGACGCGAAAAGACGAUGCUCUGUGACCUGCAGGUGCUCCUCCUCUCAGGCACAUUCUCUCAGCAGUGGAAGAGCAGCUUCUCCAGGCACUUUCCUGAGCAGCAGUGAAUGCCUGGAUAAUGACUUGGAUGAUGCCAUCCUGGCUCGUUCUGAUGAGGAAAAGCCAGAUUCUCCCACCGGACUCUCUCGUGAAGCUGAGGAUGAGCUCAUAGCAGAGGAUCUGGAAACCUCCCCAUGUUUUGUAGCAGUGGAAGUAACUAGAUAUGAGGAUGUGAAGAGUGGUAGCCUUUUAGCUUGUCCUGAAUCUGCACAGCCUCUGAGGGCUCUGGAUGAGGUUGAAAGCACAAAACCUCUUCCUCAGGCCAGUUCUUCAGCCAGCUCAAGUGAGGGGGCUGUUUUCACGAAUGAUUUGGAGAAGUCCUUGAAUAAGAGCUCUCAAAAUCAAGUAGAGUUUGGUGCAAAUUACAAUAGUCUUAGGAUUCCAGAAGCUGGUUCAGACGUAACAGCUUCUUUGAAUCUGGAGAGAGGUCUGUCUGGAAAAAUAGAUAACGAAGCAAUAAAGACGGAGACCAAUGAUUUGCCAGUAGGAAGCCAACUAGUGGCUGAACAGGAAUCAUUUGGUGCAGUGGCUGAACAGUCCUCAGGGAGAGAGACUUCCUUAAGUUACAAGCAGCUAAGAGGCACGAAUUCAAGCAACCCUCUACCUGACUUGCAUGCAGUAUUCACUCAUGUCAAUGGCCAAAGAAAGGAUUGUGUGGAAGUUCCUGAUGUUAAAAAAACAAAUAGUUUUGCAAAGCCUAAACGGAUAUUAAUUCAAGAAGCCGACCUUGAGUCAAGAAAAGCAAGAUAUGUCAAUGCUGUACUUAACCAUGCUAGCUCGGUCCCAUCACUCAUAGGCCCCGUCCAUGAGUUGCACACGCUGGUAGAUACAGUCGCAUCUGAAUCCAGUUACAACCACCCAACAGACUUGACCGUAAGGAACUACACCAAACGGAGUCACAGCAAAACUCAGAGGUUCAGUCUCAGCCAGUGGGUUGAGCAUAGCAGGCGCAACUUCGGUCGGUUUGAUGGCAUUCCUGAUCACUUUGAGCGCAGCCCCAUCCUAAGUUAGAGGAGAUUUUAUCCAAAGUUGUCCUUUAAAUGUUUAGGUACCAGUAGUUCGAUUUAAUUAGUGUUUGUGCAUGUUUACCAUUAAUAUAAAGGCCAGUUUAAUGUAUUUGUUUUUUAUUACAAAUAUUUGUUCACUUUGUCCUAGAUCUUUUUCACUGCUGAAUAUUUUAGAAAUAUUGUGUUUUUACUAUUCUAUUUGAUACUGCACCUUGAAUAUAUUAUAAAUGUUUAUUUUAAAAUUCUGGAAUCUAUUAUCCUU